This 979-nucleotide ribosomal RNA is filed under the name uncultured bacterium. RNAcentral's name for it is "bacterial SSU rRNA". It matches the Rfam family "Bacterial small subunit ribosomal RNA", at positions 501 to 1493 of the family's 1533-position model. The record is from RNAcentral.
CUCCGUGCCAGCAGCCGCGGUAAUACGGAGGAUGCAAGCGUUAUCCCGGAUUUAUUGGGUUUAAAGGGUGCGUAGGCGGGAAAUUAAGUCAGUGGUGAAAUCCUACAGCUUAACUGUAGAACUGCCAUUGAAACUGAUUUUCUUGAGUAUAGUUGAGGUGGGCGGAACGUAUAAUGUAGCGGUGAAAUGCUUAGAUAUUAUACAGAACACCGAUUGCGUAGGCAGCUCACUAAACUAUUACUGACGCUCAGGCACGAAAGCGUGGGUAGCGAACAGGAUUAGAUACCCUGGUAGUCCACGCCGUAAACGAUGAUCACUCGUUGUUGGCGAUACACAGUCAGCGACUAAGCAAAAGCAUUAAGUGAUCCACCUGGGGAGUACGAUCGCAAGGUUGAAACUCAAAGGAAUUGACGGGGGCCCGCACAAGCGGAGGAACAUGUGGUUUAAUUCGAUGAUACGCGAGGAACCUUACCUGGGCUUAAAUGUAGGGCGAUUGCUGCCGAAAGGCAGCUUCCUUCGGGCGACCUACAAGGUGCUGCAUGGUUGUCGUCAGCUCGUGCCGUGAGGUGUCGGGUUAAGUCCCAUAACGAGCGCAACCCUCAUCGUUAGUUGCCAUCGGGUAAUGCCGGGGACUCUAACGAAACUGCCGGUGUAAACCGUGAGGAAGGUGGGGAUGACGUCAAAUCAGCACGGCCCUUAUGUCCAGGGCUACACACGUGUUACAAUGGUCGGUACAAAGGGCAGCUACCUGGUGACAGGAUGCUAAUCUCUAAAGCCGGUCUCAGUUCGGAUCGAAGUCUGCAAUUCGACUUCGUGAAGUUGGAUUCGCUAGUAAUCGCGCAUCAGCAACGGCGCGGUGAAUACGUUCCCGGGCCUUGUACACACCGCCCGUCAAGCCAUGGAAGCUGGGGGUGCCUGAAGUCCGUAACCGUAAGGAGCGGCCUAGGGUAAAACUAGUGACUGGGGCUAAGUCGUAACA